GUGAGGAAUUUUCCGCAAUGGGCGAAAGCCUGACGGAGCAAUGCCGCGUGAAGGAUGAAGGCCUAUGGGUUGUAAACUUCUUUUCUCAGAAAAGAAUUAUGACGGUAUCUGAGGAAUAAGCAUCGGCUAACUCUGUGCCAGCAGCCGCGGUAAGACAGAGGAUGCAAGCGUUAUCUGGAAUGAUUGGGCGUAAAGCGUCUGUAGGUUGUUUAAAAAGUAUUCUGUCAAAGAUUAGGGCUUAACCCUAGAUAGGCAGAAUAAACUUUUAAGCUAGAGGUUGGUAGAGGCAGUGGGAAUUCCCGGUGGAGCGGUGAAAUGCGUAGAUAUCGGGAGGAACACCAAAGGCGAAGGGACUCUGCUGUGCCAAUACUAACACUGAGAGACGAAAGCGAGGGGAGCAAAUGGGAUUAGAAACCCGAGUAGUCC
RNAcentral lists this ribosomal RNA (426 nucleotides) under uncultured bacterium. Its description in RNAcentral is "partial 16S ribosomal RNA". It matches the Rfam family "Bacterial small subunit ribosomal RNA", at positions 354 to 796 of the family's 1533-position model. The record is from RNAcentral.